GCGCUGGUAGUCAAGCGGUUACGAUAUGGCCUUGCCAAGGCUGUGGCCCGGGUUCGAAUCCCGGCCAGCGCA
This 72-nucleotide transfer RNA is filed under the name Candidatus Woesearchaeota archaeon. RNAcentral describes it as "tRNA-Gly". It matches the Rfam family "tRNA". From Rfam's summary of the family: Transfer RNA (tRNA) molecules are approximately 80 nucleotides in length. Their secondary structure includes four short double-helical elements and three loops (D, anti-codon, and T loops). Further hydrogen bonds mediate the characteristic L-shaped molecular structure. tRNAs have two regions of fundamental functional importance: the anti-codon, which is responsible for specific mRNA codon recognition, and the 3' end, to which the tRNAs corresponding amino acid is attached (by aminoacyl-tRNA synthetases). tRNAs cope with the degeneracy of the genetic code in two manners: having more than one tRNA (with a specific anti-codon) for a particular amino acid; and 'wobble' base-pairing, i.e. permitting non-standard base-pairing at the 3rd anti-codon position. The record is from RNAcentral. Lineage: Archaea; Nanobdellati; Candidatus Woesearchaeota.